This 18-nucleotide microRNA is filed under the name Ciona intestinalis (vase tunicate). Its description in RNAcentral is "cin-miR-4110-3p". Lineage: Eukaryota; Metazoa; Chordata; Ascidiacea; Phlebobranchia; Cionidae. The record is from miRBase by way of RNAcentral.
CACAUGUUGUUAACAUGG